AGGAAAGCCUCGCGAACAAGCAAGGCAUACCGACCAGAACUGAAGAAGCGGAAACACUCAACAAAGUCCAACUGCUAUCAAAAACUAAGAACCUGAAAUAAUAUUAAGAAUGAGGGUGAGUUCAACCAACUCAGUGAGGGAAUAACAUUUAAUAUACAUUUCAGAUAACUAUAUUUAUCUUGAUAUACAUAUACAUAUUCAUACUAAACAUAUUAUCAUAACGUAGUGGAUUACAUGUCAGAGAUCAGAUGACACCCGAAGGUGACCAGAUGACACCCGUCGGUGACCACUGUGGGAUGAUCAGUCGCCACAGGCUGAUGCCUCUCUCACCAGCUAGGUAACAAAAUACUAUGUGCACACAGGCUAACUAUUCUCCGUUAGCAUGGAGUUACUGACAAGUCCCAUAUCAAGGCAUAAUAGAUAUUCACAGAAUCAUCAAAGAAACGUAUAUCAUAUCAAAUAGAAUUUACUUUAUCAGAUUGCGAGUGCAAAUUCAAGAAUAAAUGAGUACUCGGAAAAUAAAGCAACAUAUAUAAAUAUUCAAGAAAUUUACUAGUUGUACUCAUUGUAUAAUCAACAUACAUAUUUAUUUAUAUUAUAUGCAUAUUAAAGAUUAUUCCACUCACCCGGAAAAUAUAGAACUAAAAGGAAUGUCGGACGAAAGACCCGAAAAUUCGAUUAAGGAUCGGUAGGAGAACCUACAAUAAAUAUAUGAAAUAUACUCAAAAACAAUUCAAACAAAAGAUCCCAAUGCAUAAAAUAAACCGGGCUUAAUCUCCUAAGUUUAGGGACUAAAACGACAAUUUUCCAAAAUAGGGAACCAAAACGUAAUUUUACCAAAUUAAUUGAGGACCAAACUGUAAAUACAUAACCAUACUGAAAUUAUCCAUAAUUCGUCCUUAUCUUUGUCCAGAAUCUUGAAUUAUGCCCCAAGGUCCAAAAUGUGAUUUUAUCAAAUUUAGGGGUCAAAUCGUAAUUUGUCAAAUUGGAGGACCAAACUGAAAAAAUAUUAAUUAUACUAAUUUGCCUUAAUCAUUAUUCUGUUCAGAACCUCAAUAUGCCCCAGGGACCAAUCUGUAAAUUUCCAAAGUUCGGGGACUAAACUGCAAUUUCCAAAUUGAGGGACCAAACUGAAUUUUCGUCAUCUUCAACCUCAAACCCAGAAUUUCAACAGAUCACCUACUGUUAUCCCCUGAUUUCUAACACAAUUUCACCAUUUAAACAAAAUCAUAACUCAAAAUCAUUAUCCUUCAAUUCAAUCUCUCAAAAUCAACUAAUUAAUCAAAUACCCACAAUAAUCAACUCCUAACCUUCAAAUUAAUUCAUCAAUUAACUCAAAAUACAAACUUCAAAACCUAACAUUAAUCAAAACCGAAAUUAAACAUAUUAUACACUUCAAACCAUAAAUCUUACCUUUUAAACUUAUUUCCUCUACUUCUCUUCCUUUUCCCCUUAUUUUCCCUUCUUUUCUCUUCUUCUUCUUCUUCCUCCCUUCUCUCUUACGGUUUGUUCUUCAAAUUUUCAGAUCCCUCUUUCUUUUUCUAUUUAUAUUUAUCAACUAUUUAUCCAAUUACCAUAAUACCCCUUAUUCAAAUUUACUCACUCUUUAAGCCUCCAAGGGCUUUAUUGUAUUUUCCAAUCUUAAACUCAAAAUAUUACAAUCUCCCCACCUUAUAAAAGUUUCGUCCUCGAAACUUAAUAGAAAAGAUUGAAUACUUACCGAGAUUAUUGAAAAGAUGAGGAUACUCCUCACGCAUCUUAUCCUCGAGCUCCCAGGUCGCUUCCUCACGUGAAUGACCUUUCCAUUUCACUUUCACUGAAGCUAUAUCCUUCGACCUAAGCUUCCUCACUUGUCGGUCAAUUAUAGCUUCCGGUUGCACCUCAUAAACCAUAUCAUCUCUCAAUUCAAUGGGAUGAACCUCUAACACAUGUGAUGGAUCUGGCAUAUACUUCCUUAGCAUGGAAACAUGAAAUACCGGAUGGAUGGAGGAUAGAUUAGGUGGCAAGGCAAGCCGAUAUGCCACUACCCCUACUCUUUCCAAGAUCUCAAAGGGCCCUAUAAACCUAGGGCUCAACUUUCCUUUCUUCCCAAAUCUGAAUAUUCCUUUAGUCGGGGAGACUUUUAGGAACACGUUGUCACCCACUGAAAAUUCUAGAUUACGCCUCCUCUUAUCCGCAUAAUUCUUUUGUCUGCUCUGAGCUGUUUGAAGCUUAUCUCGAAUCACCUUAAUCUUAUCCGAAGUAAUCUGUAUUAACUCGGGACCCAUUAAUCUCCUCUCUCCAACCUCAUACCAACAGACAGGUGAUCUACACUUCCGGCCAUACAAAGCCUCAUAUGGAGCCAUAUCAAUGCUCGCUUGAUAACUAUUAUUAUAUGCAAACUCCACCAAAGACAAGUAUUUGCUCCAUCCGACACCAAAGUCAAUCACACAAGCUCUUAACAUAUCCUCCAAAAUUUGUAUAGUCCUCUCAGAUUGUCCAUCUGUUUGAGGAUGAAAAGCAGUACUUAACUGAACAUUAGUCCCCAAAGCUUCCUGAAAUUUCACCCAAAACCGAGAAGUGAACUGUGGACCUCUGUCAGACACAAUUGAGAUGGGCACACCAUGCAACCUUACAAUCUCGUUAACAUAGAUUUCUGCGAGUUUUGCAAACCCAUAUGUCACCUUUACUGGCAAGAAAUGAGCUGACUUGGUUAAACGAUCAACUAUCACCCAAACCGAAUCAUAACCCUCCUGACUCCGAGGCAAGCCUGACACAAAGUCCAUAGUGAUCCUCUCCCAUUUCCAUUCAGGAAUCAACAAUGGCUGCAAAAGCCCUGGUGGUUUCUGAUGCUCACCUUUAACCCUCUGACAGGUCAAGCAUCGAGAUACAAACUCAGCAAUGUCCCUCUUCAUACCAUUCCACCAAUAACACUCUUUCAAGUCUCUAUACAUCUUAUUAGAACCAGGAUGUAUAGUAUAGGCAGUUUGGUGUGCUUCCAUCAUCACAUCUCUUUUCAAAUCAUCCACCUCAGGCACACACAAUCUUGAACCAAAUCUCAACACACCAUCUUCGUGGAUAACAAAACCCGGAGCUCUCUCUAACUCCAAGUCAUCUCGAAUUUUGCAAAGUUGUUCAUCCUUCAUCUGAGCUACUUUAAUCCGGUCUACCAAGUCUGACUUAGCCUGAAGUGAGCCAACAAUGCUCCCGAUUCACAAAUCUCAAAACUGACUCUCUCAUCUAACAAUCCGUGUAACUCUUUAAUCAAGGGUCUCCUCACCUCCUGAAUAUGAGCUAAACUACCCAUAGAUUUUCGACUUAAAGCAUCAGCAACAACAUUUGCCUUGCCCGGGUGAUAUUGAAUCGUGCAAUCAUAAUCACUUAACAAUUCUAUCCACCUUCUCUGUCUCAAAUUCAGAUCCUUUUGCUGAAAAAUAUAUUGAAGACUCUUAUGAUCUGAAAAUAUCUCACAUGUCUCCCCAUACAAGUAGUGGACUAAAACGACAAUUUUCCAAAAUAGGGACCAAAAUGUAAUUUUACCAAAAUUUGGAGAAAUUGGAGGACCAAACUGUAAAUACAUAACCAUACUGAAAUUUAUCCAUAAUUCGUCCUUAUCUUUGUCCAGAAUCUUGAAUUAUGCCCCAAGGUCCUAAAUGUGAUUUUAUCAACAUUUUAGGGGUCAAAUCGUAAUUUGUCAAAUUGGAGGACCAAAUUGAAAGUGUUAAAUUCUCUUAUCUAUACAGUAAUUCUGCCCAUAAUCCAUAUGUUAUUCUGUUCAGAAUCUCGGAAUAUGCUCCAGGGACCAAUUUGUAAUAUUUCCAAAGUUCGGGGACUAAACUGCAAUUUUUGCAAAUUGAGGGACCAAACUGAAUUUUCGUCAUCUUCAACCUCAAACCCAGAAUUUCAAUAGAUCACCUACUGUUAUCCUCUGAUUUCUAACACAAUUUCACCAUUUAAACAAAAUCAUAACUCAAAAUCAUUAUCCUUCAAUUCAAUCUCUCAAAAUCAACUAAUUAAUCAAAUACCUACAAUAAUCAACUCCUAACCUUCAAAUUAAUUCAUCAAUUAACUCAAAAUACAAACUUCAAAACCCUAACAUUUAUCAAAACCAAAAUUAAACAUAUUAUACACUUCAAACCAUAAAUCUUACCUUUUAAACUUAUUUCCUCUACUUCUCUUCCUUUUCCCCUUAUUUUCCCUUCUUUUCUCUUCUUCUUCUUCUUCCUCCCUUCUCUCUUACGGU
RNAcentral lists this long non-coding RNA (4222 nucleotides) under Populus tremula. RNAcentral describes it as "long non-coding RNA (PTRE_LNC001622)". The record is from RNAcentral. Lineage: Eukaryota; Viridiplantae; Streptophyta; Magnoliopsida; Malpighiales; Salicaceae.